This 205-nucleotide small nucleolar RNA is filed under the name Hippocampus comes (tiger tail seahorse). Its description in RNAcentral is "Small nucleolar RNA SNORA53 (ENSHCOG00000012550.1)". It matches the Rfam family "Small nucleolar RNA SNORA53". From Rfam's summary of the family: The snoRNA ACA53 belongs to the H/ACA family of pseudouridylation guide snoRNAs. The record is from RNAcentral. Lineage: Eukaryota; Metazoa; Chordata; Actinopteri; Syngnathiformes; Syngnathidae.
AACACGUUCCUUAGAUCCACCUCUGGGGGGCGCUCUGCUGUGAGCAGGGCGCCCUCAGCAGCUUUCGGGCUGUACGGUCGGAGGUGCUUGAGUCAUUGGCGUGUGAGAGCAGUCUACCUGUUUCCCAGCUUAGCCGCACCGCUGGCAGCUCCGUUCUUUGUGAACGGGAGAUCGCCCAGUGUUGCGAGCCAGGGGAACGGACAUU